Molecule: transfer RNA, 74 nt
Filed under: Acidimicrobiia bacterium
Lineage: Bacteria; Bacillati; Actinomycetota; Acidimicrobiia
Also listed under: 1 other name
Description: tRNA-Met
Rfam family: tRNA
About the family: Transfer RNA (tRNA) molecules are approximately 80 nucleotides in length. Their secondary structure includes four short double-helical elements and three loops (D, anti-codon, and T loops). Further hydrogen bonds mediate the characteristic L-shaped molecular structure. tRNAs have two regions of fundamental functional importance: the anti-codon, which is responsible for specific mRNA codon recognition, and the 3' end, to which the tRNAs corresponding amino acid is attached (by aminoacyl-tRNA synthetases). tRNAs cope with the degeneracy of the genetic code in two manners: having more than one tRNA (with a specific anti-codon) for a particular amino acid; and 'wobble' base-pairing, i.e. permitting non-standard base-pairing at the 3rd anti-codon position.
Source: RNAcentral
GGCGGGAUAGCUCAGCUGGUCAGAGCGCACGGCUCAUAAUCGUGAGGUCGAGGGUUCGAUCCCCUCUCCCGCUA